UACGUAGGGGGCAAGCGUUGUCCGGAUUUAUUGGGCGUAAAGAGCGUGUAGGCGGCCAGAUAGGUCCGUUGUGAAAACUCGAGGCUCAACCUCGAGACGCCGAUGGAAACCAUUUGGCUAGAGUCCGGAAGAGGAGAGUGGAAUUCCUGGUGUAGCGGUGAAAUGCGCAGAUAUCAGGAAGAACCCGCGUGGCUGAGGCGGCUCUCUAGUACGGUACUGACGCUGAGACGCGAAAGCGUGGGGAGCGAACAGG
This 253-nucleotide ribosomal RNA is filed under the name uncultured bacterium. RNAcentral's name for it is "partial 16S ribosomal RNA". It matches the Rfam family "Bacterial small subunit ribosomal RNA", at positions 524 to 776 of the family's 1533-position model. The record is from RNAcentral.